GCCCUACGGGGUGCAGCAGGCGCGAAAACUUUACAAUGCUGGAAACAGCGAUAAGGGGACCUCGAGUGCCAGGUUACAAAUCUGGCUGUCGUGAUGCCUAAAAAGCAUUGCAUAGCAAGGGCCGGGCAAGACCGGUGCCAGCCGCCGCGGUAACACCGGCGGCUCGAGUGGUAACCGUUAUUAUUGGGUCUAAAGGGUCUGUAGCCGGCCGGAUAAGUCUCUUGGGAAAUCCAGCAGCUCAACUGUUGGGCUUUCAGGAGAUACUGUCUGGCUCGAGGCCGGGAGAGGUGAGAGGUACUUCGGGGGUAGGGGUGAAAUCUUGUAAUCCUUGAAGGACCACCAGUGGCGAAGGCGUCUCACCAGAACGGACCUGACGGCAAGGGACGAAAGCUAGGGGCACGAACCGGAUUAGAUACCCGGGUAGUCCUAGCCGUAAACGAUACUCGCUAGGUGUCGGCCACGGUGCGACCGUUGUCGGUGCCGUAGGGAAGCCGUGAAGCGAGCCACCUGGGAAGUACGGCCGCAAGGCUGAAACUUAAAGGAAUUGGCGGGGGAGCAC
RNAcentral lists this ribosomal RNA (559 nucleotides) under uncultured Methanosaeta sp. Its description in RNAcentral is "bacterial SSU rRNA". It matches the Rfam family "Archaeal small subunit ribosomal RNA", at positions 320 to 879 of the family's 1478-position model. Lineage: Archaea; Methanobacteriati; Methanobacteriota; Methanomicrobia; Methanotrichales; Methanotrichaceae. The record is from RNAcentral.